Molecule: long non-coding RNA, 912 nt
Filed under: Vulpes vulpes (red fox)
Lineage: Eukaryota; Metazoa; Chordata; Mammalia; Carnivora; Canidae
Description: lncRNA (ENSVVUG00000014617.1)
Source: RNAcentral
AUUUGAAAAAUAAAAAUAAAAAAUACUCAGAAGCAGUGUGAGUCUUUAUCCUAAUAUUUGAUCCCAAACAUAUUUAAAAUAUUUACUUUUAUUUUAUUUUGUUUUUGUUUGCUAACCUUCACAUUUGUACAAAAUGUUAAAACAAACAAACUCUAACUCUAACAGCAGAAUUUGGAGCCAAUAGCACUUGUUUCCUUUUUUAUGAAUUCUAUUCUUCCCCUGGAUUAUUGCUUUCUUCACUAUUGUUGGGUCUUCAUCUCCAUUUUGGAAUCUUGCUGAGGAAGACUGUACUAGUUUGCUCAGAUCCAGUAAAAUUUAACACAGGCUGCAGAUGGUUAACUAGAGUAUCAGUAACAGGUAAAUCUGUGAACAAAACACCCCCAACCAUACCUCUUCAAUACUCUGAAUGUCAGGUAACCUUACUCUGCUAUGCCUCCUAUUUAGGUUUGUUCCUCAGUGGGCCCACUGUCCCAGGGCCACAUUUCCCCAGAGAUGAUUAACUAAUGGUGUGGAAAGGCCUUUCCAGUAAAAGGAUGACUUCUGGCAACCAUAAACUUCUACAGAGAGAAGGCAAGUCUAGAUCUUGCUAUACCAGUGAUUCUCCAAGUGCGGUCCCUGGACCAGCAGCAUCUACAUCGCCUGGGAACUUGUUAAAAUGGAAAAUCCUUGGGCCUCAUCUCAGACAUACUAAAUCAGCAAUUUGUAUUUUAACAAGGCCUCCAGGUAAUUCUAAUGCAUAAUAAAUUUAGAGAAUCACUCGUCUAUAACAUGCACCCUUUUAAAGCCAGGCCUUGAUUCAAUGAUUAAUGCUAACUAUGGGUGAUCAGAAGUAAUCAAUUCUCCCUCCAAAUAUCUGUGUGAUAUUGAAUUAUAUCUAUAGAUCCUUUAUUCCUAGGGACCUCAGGGUAAAGG